UCUGUAGCUGCGUCUACAGGAGCUCGCUUCUCUUGAGAGCGGCGCACGGGUGACUAAUGCCUAGGAAUCUGCCUAGUGGUGGGGGAUACCCUUCGGAAACGGACGCUAAUACCGCAUACGUCCUACGGGAGAAAGCGGGGGAUCUUCGGACCUCGCGCCAUUAGAUGAGCCUAGGUCCGAUUACCUAGUUGGUGAGGUAAUGGCUCACCAAGGCGACGAUCCGUAACUGGUCUGAGAGGAUGAUCAGUCACACUGGAACUGAGACACGGUCCAGACUCCUACGGGAGGCAGCAGUGGGGAAUAUUGGACAAUGGGCGAAAGCCUGAUCCAGCCAUGCCGCGUGUGUGAAGAAGGUCUUCGGAUUGUAAAGCACUUUAAGUUGGGAGGAAGGGUUGUAGAUUAAUACUCUGCAAUUUUGACGUUACCGACAGAAUAAGCACCGGCUAACUUCGUGCCAGCAGCCGCGGUAAUACGAAGGGUGCAAGCGUUAAUCGGAAUUACUGGGCGUAAAGCGCGCGUAGGUGGUUCGUUAAGUUGGAUGUGAAAGCCCCGGGCUCAACCUGGGAACUGCAUCCAAAACUGGCGAGCUAAGUACGGUAGAGGGUAGUGGAAUUUCCUGUGUAGCGGUGAAAUGCGUAGAUAUAGGAAGGAACACCAGUGGCGAAGGCGACUACCUGGACUGAUACUGACACUGAGGUGCGAAAUCGUGGGGAGCAAACAGGAUUAGAUACCC
This 733-nucleotide ribosomal RNA is filed under the name Pseudomonas sp. Its description in RNAcentral is "bacterial SSU rRNA". It matches the Rfam family "Bacterial small subunit ribosomal RNA", at positions 54 to 787 of the family's 1533-position model. The record is from RNAcentral. Lineage: Bacteria; Pseudomonadati; Pseudomonadota; Gammaproteobacteria; Pseudomonadales; Pseudomonadaceae.